RNAcentral lists this ribosomal RNA (403 nucleotides) under Verrucomicrobiota bacterium. RNAcentral's name for it is "Verrucomicrobia bacterium partial 16S ribosomal RNA". It matches the Rfam family "Bacterial small subunit ribosomal RNA", at positions 355 to 776 of the family's 1533-position model. The record is from RNAcentral. Lineage: Bacteria; Pseudomonadati; Verrucomicrobiota.
UGGGGAAUAUUGCACAAUGGGGGAAACCCUGAUGCAGCGACGCCGCGUGAGCGAAGAAGGUUUACGAAUCGUAAAGCUCUGUCCUAUGAGAAGAUAAUGACGGUAUCAUAGGAGGAAGCCCCGGCUAAAUACGUGCCAGCAGCCGCGGUAAUACGUAUGGGGCGAGCGUUGUCCGGAAUUAUUGGGCGUAAAGGGUACGUAGGCGGUCUAUUAAGUCAGGUGUGAAAGCGUGAGGCUUAACCUCAUUAAGCACUUGAAACUGAUAGACUUGAGUGAAGGAGAGGAAAGUGGAAUUCCUAGUGUAGCGGUGAAAUGCGUAGAUAUUAGGAGGAAUACCGGUGGCGAAGGCGACUUUCUGGACUUUUACUGACGCUCAGGUACGAAAGCGUGGGGAGCAAACAGG